GGAGGAGCGGAAGAGGCACGUGCCGCGUUUGUCACGUGGCCCCCGUGUGUUAACUCGAUUGGUGAAUAAAUAAUUGGCGCUGAGCAAUGUUUUUAAUUUAUUCCGUUUCCAUGAGAACAAAUGUUUUGUUUAUCGGGGCCACUGUUUAAAGCCAUAUACCGUAUUGUGUGUUGGUACCGAUCAAAGAGCUGCUGGUUUCCAGUGGUUCUCUCAUAUUGUUCGCCACAUUCUGAGCUGACAAUGAGCGCGUCUGCUAAUGCGCGUCAGUUUGGAAGCACUUUCGUUCAGGAAGAGAGUUACGAGAAAAAGGAAGAGGAAGAGCUGCUGGGCAGAAAAGAUGAAGGCAGCAGCAUCAGGACUGCAAAGCAGAAGGGUGAGUUGAAGAGCUUGUCCCAGGUGGUUUCAGCCAGCGUCCUCAGACACACACAGCGGGUGCUGAAAAGAGAGGCUGCUCUUUGGCACAGAGCACUUGUCAUGGAGCGCCGAGCAGCACUGCUGGAUCUUCUGGAACAGGACAGACAACAGUACACAAUGGAGCUCAAUCAGAUGGGGAAAGCUUUUUACAUGCUAAGGAUCUAAACACACAUUGUUUUUCAUUGUUGGAUGAGAUCAUUCCUCUGGUUAGUUUUAUUUGUCCCUAAUAUUUAAUGGAUCACUGAACCUUUUAAACUGUAACAUGGCUUAGUUUUGCAUUAGGCAUACCAACAAUAUCGCUAGCAAAAAAAGUAUAUAGUUUGAUAGCUAUAUGAAGAGUAUUUUAACUGAAUGAAAUAAAACCGGUUUCACACCCUGUAACUUGAAUGAA
Molecule: long non-coding RNA, 805 nt
Filed under: Scleropages formosus (Asian bonytongue)
Lineage: Eukaryota; Metazoa; Chordata; Actinopteri; Osteoglossiformes; Osteoglossidae
Description: lncRNA (ENSSFOG00015032241.1)
Source: RNAcentral